AUUGAACGCUGGCGGCAGGCCUAACACAUGCAAGUCGAGCGGAUGAAGGGAUCUUGCUCCUGGAUUCAGCGGCGGACGGGUGAGUAAUGCCUAGGAAUCUGCCUGGUAGUGGGUGAUAACGUCCGGAAACGGGCGCUAAUACCGCAUACGUCCUGAGGGAGAAAGUGGGGGAUCUUCGGAUCUCACGCUAUCAGAUGAGCCUAGGUCGGAUUAGCUAGUUGGUGGGGUAAAGGCCUACCAAGGCGACGAUCCGUAACUGGUCUGAGAGGAUGAUCAGUCACACUGGAACUGAGACACGGUCCAGACUCCUACGGGAGGCAGCAGUGGGGAAUAUUGGAAAAUGGGCGAAAGCCUGAUCCAGCCAUGCCGCGUGUGUGAAGAAGGUAUUCGGAUUGUAAAGCACUAUAAGUUGGGAAGAAGGGCAGUAAGUUAAUACCUUGCUGUUUUGACGUUACCAACAGAAUAAGCACCGGCUAACUUCGUG
Molecule: ribosomal RNA, 484 nt
Filed under: uncultured bacterium
Lineage: Bacteria
Description: partial 16S ribosomal RNA
Rfam family: Bacterial small subunit ribosomal RNA
Source: RNAcentral